This 395-nucleotide ribosomal RNA is filed under the name uncultured bacterium. RNAcentral describes it as "partial 16S ribosomal RNA". It matches the Rfam family "Bacterial small subunit ribosomal RNA", at positions 523 to 918 of the family's 1533-position model. The record is from RNAcentral.
AUACGUAGGUGGCAAGCGUUGUCCGGAUUUACUGGGUGUAAAGGGCGUGUAGGCGGAGAUGCAAGUCAGGAGUGAAAUCUAGGGGCUCAACCCCUAAACUGCUUUUGAAACUGUAUCCCUUGAGUAUCGGAGAGGCAGGCGGAAUUCCUAGUGUAGCGGUGAAAUGCGUAGAUAUUAGGAGGAACACCAGUGGCGAAGGCGGCCUGCUGGACGACAACUGACGCUGAGGCGCGAAAGCGUGGGGAGCAACAGGAUUAGAUACCCUGGUAGUCCACGCUGUAAACGAUGAAUACUAGGUGUGGGGGGACUGACCCCCUCCGUGCCGCAGUUAACACAAUAAGUAUUCCACCUGGGGAGUACGAUCGCAAGAUUGAAACUCAAAGGAAUUGACGGGG